This 497-nucleotide ribosomal RNA is filed under the name uncultured bacterium. RNAcentral describes it as "partial 16S ribosomal RNA". It matches the Rfam family "Bacterial small subunit ribosomal RNA", at positions 899 to 1397 of the family's 1533-position model. The record is from RNAcentral.
ACUCAAAUGAAUUGACGGGGGCCCGCACAAGAGGUGGAGUAUGUGGUUUAAUUCGAAGCGACGCGAAGAACCUUACCUGGGUUUGACAUCCCGCGAGAGCCGUAGAAAUGCGGUGAGGUAGCGAUACCCGCGGAGACAGGUGCUGCAUGGCUGUCGUCAGCUCGUGUCGUGAGAUGUUGGGUUAAGUCCCGCAACGAGCGCAACCCUUUCCCUUAUUUGGCAUCAUUAAGUUGGCAACUAUAGGGGUACUGCCGGUGACAAACCGGAGGAAGGCGGGGAUGACGUCAAGUCCUCAUGGCCCUUACAUCCAGGGCGACACACGUACUACAAUGGCCAAGACAAAGCGAAGCGAAGCCGAGAGGUGGAGCGAAACGCAAAAACAUGGUCUCAGUUCGGAUUGUGGUCUGCAACUCGACCACAUGAAGUUGGAAUCUCUAGUAAUCGCAGAUCAGCAGGCUGCGGUGAAUACGUUCACGGGCCUUGUACACACCGCCCGU